This 767-nucleotide non-coding RNA is filed under the name Plasmodium falciparum Dd2. RNAcentral's name for it is "Eukaryotic small subunit ribosomal RNA". It matches the Rfam family "Eukaryotic small subunit ribosomal RNA", at positions 1 to 758 of the family's 1831-position model. The record is from Rfam by way of RNAcentral. Lineage: Eukaryota; Apicomplexa; Aconoidasida; Haemosporida; Plasmodiidae.
AACCUGGUUGAUCUUGCCAGUAGUCAUAUGCUUGUCUCAAAGAUUAAGCCAUGCAAGUGAAAGUAUAUAUAUAUUUUAUAUGUAGAAACUGCGAACGGCUCAUUAAAACAGUUAUAGUCUACUUGACAUUUUUAUUAUAAGGAUAACUACGGAAAAGCUGUAGCUAAUACUUGCUUUAUUAUCCUUUGAUUUUUAUCUUUGGAUAAGUAUUUGUUAGGCCUUAUAAGAAAAAAGUUAUUAACUUAAGGAAUUAUAACAAAGAAGUAACACGUAAUAAAUUUAUUUUAUUUAGUGUGUAUCAAUCGAGUUUCUGACCUAUCAGCUUUUGAUGUUAGGGUAUUGGCCUAACAUGGCUAUGACGGGUAACGGGGAAUUAGAGUUCGAUUCCGGAGAGGGAGCCUGAGAAAUAGCUACCACAUCUAAGGAAGGCAGCAGGCGCGUAAAUUACCCAAUUCUAAAGAAGAGAGGUAGUGACAAGAAAUAACAAUGCAAGGCCAAUUUUUGGUUUUGUAAUUGGAAUGGUGGGAAUUUAAAACCUUCCCAGAGUAACAAUUGGAGGGCAAGUCUGGUGCCAGCAGCCGCGGUAAUUCCAGCUCCAAUAGCGUAUAUUAAAAUUGUUGCAGUUAAAACGCUCGUAGUUGAAUUUCAAAGAAUCGAUAUUUUAUUGUAACUAUUCUAGGGGAACUAUUUUAGCUUUUCGCUUUAAUACGCUUCCUCUAUUAUUAUGUUCUUUAAAUAACAAAGAUUCUUUUUAAAAUCCCCACUUU